GAUAAACGCUAGCGGCAGGCUUAACACAUGCAAGUCGAGGGGCAGCAUAGAUUGUAGCAAUACAAUUGGUGGCGACCGGCGCACGGGUGCGUAACGCGUAUGCAACCUACCCGUCACAGGGGGAUAAUCCGGAGAAAUCUGGUCUAAUACCCCAUAACAUAUGGAUCGGCAUCGGUUCAUGUUGAAAUUUUCGGAGGUGACGGAUGGGCAUGCGUAGCAUUAGCUUGUUGGUGAGGUAACGGCUCACCAAGGCGACGAUGCUUAGGGGGACUGAGAGGUUUUACCCCCACACUGGUACUGAGACACGGCCCAGACUCCUCCGGGAGGCAGCAGUGAGGAAUAUUGGUCAAUGGGCGCAAGCCUGAACCAGCCAUGCCGCGUGCAGGAUGACGGCUCUAUGAGUUGUAAACUGCUUUUGUACGAGGGUAAAGUGGGUUACGUGUAACCUUUUGAAAGUAUCGUACGAAUAAGGAUCGGCUAACUCCGUGCCAGCAGCCGCCGUAA
RNAcentral lists this ribosomal RNA (504 nucleotides) under uncultured bacterium. Its description in RNAcentral is "partial 16S ribosomal RNA". It matches the Rfam family "Bacterial small subunit ribosomal RNA", at positions 28 to 523 of the family's 1533-position model. The record is from RNAcentral.